This 563-nucleotide ribosomal RNA is filed under the name Leptohalysis scotti. RNAcentral's name for it is "partial 18S ribosomal RNA". The stretch from base 1 to 439 matches the Rfam family "Eukaryotic small subunit ribosomal RNA", at positions 1220 to 1501 of the family's 1831-position model. Lineage: Eukaryota; Foraminifera; Lituolida; Reophacidae. The record is from RNAcentral.
GGGUCCGGACACACUGAGGAUUGACAGGUAUUAUCAAUAAUUAUUUUUGCAUUUUUAUGUUAAAAAUUCAAUUAUUGUGUUAAAUAUGCUAGUCCUUUCAUGAUUAUGUGAUAGGUGGUGCAUGGCCGUUCUUAGUUCGUGGAGUGAUCUGUCUGCUUAAUUGCGUUUCACUAAGGGCUUAAAAUUAUGUGCUUUAAUAUUGACCCCUCAAUUUUUAAUUGAGUGUGUUGUCUUUAUUGGUACUUCUAAGCUCUGAAAGCAACGAACGUGACCGCAACCCUUUGUUGCCUUUACUAAAAUUUUAUUUUUUUUAUAAAAUAUAAAUUAAAAAAGGCUUUUUAAACUAGGGGGACCGCUGUAAUCUUUUUAAACCAGAGGAAGGUUGCGGCAAUAACAGGUCUGUGAUGCCCUUAGAUGUUCCGGGCUGCACACGUGCUACAAUGAUUUUUGCAGUGAGCAUCUCAUUUUUAAUACAUCGCUUGCAUGAUGCUUUAUAUUUAAAUUUAUUUUUAUUUAUUUUGUUCAUUUUUGCGCGAUAAAGCCUGCUUCGAAAGUAAGUGGGU